CAUUUGUGUAGCUUACUCUGCAAAGGUAUGUUUUGGUAUUUUACUCUCGCCUUAUCUAUUUAAUUCUGGUUGUGGGAGGAUAAAAAGUUUGUGUCACAUAGAAAAUUUUUAUUUGUUUUUCUAUUCAUUAUUUUGAUUGUUUUAGUGACUGGAUCUUAACUAUCAGGGUAACCUGGAUUAGGCUUCUUUUAUGCAGUAGUAAAUUCACAGUGCCAGCAUCUGCGGUUAUUCUGUUAAUUGCUUCUCCUUCUUGGAUAAAAUUUUUUAUAAGCUAUUAAUAAUUGUUGGGUAGAAUCUUUAUAUUAUCUUAAAACUAGCUUAUAAUCUUUAUUUUUGGGCUUUAAAAAGAAAAGGAUUAGAGACCCUUGUAUUUGGUUUAUUACUUUUAUUCCCUAGUUGUAACUAAAAGGAUUUGGCAGCCGACGAAGUUCUUCCGGGGGAGUGUGUUUCAUAAGAGAUAAUCCGCUUAUUAUUUUACCAUCUUUAUGUUAGUGUAUAUCCGGUUUAAGAUUUAUAGUUAUUGCUAGUAAGUGUAAUUAUUUUUAUUAAAGCCAGGUCGAUGUGCUGCUUAUGGGAUGGUGAUUGUGCACUACUUUUUUAAAAAGGGUAUAUUGAAAAUUAUUCUUUUAUUUAGGACUCGGAAGUAGGUAGUUUUAGUUUGUGCUAUCGAAGCUUGAUUUAGUUGGGGUACACACCGCCCGUCACCCAGGGUGUUAGCUGUGGUAAGUCGUAACAUGGUAAUGCUUGGGGAACCAGGCGUUAGUUGAUU
This 769-nucleotide ribosomal RNA is filed under the name Plagiorchis elegans. RNAcentral's name for it is "12S ribosomal RNA". The record is from RNAcentral. Lineage: Eukaryota; Metazoa; Platyhelminthes; Trematoda; Plagiorchiida; Plagiorchiidae.